Molecule: long non-coding RNA, 1139 nt
Filed under: Bos indicus x Bos taurus (hybrid cattle)
Lineage: Eukaryota; Metazoa; Chordata; Mammalia; Artiodactyla; Bovidae
Description: lncRNA (ENSBIXG00000020017.1)
Source: RNAcentral
CCAGAUCCUAGAGGAGAAGCCCUUCUGCCAGAUGAGACUGAUGCAAAACGGUUUGAUAUAUGUGAUCCCACCCCCUCAUUUCACAGACGAGGAAGUUCAGCCCCAGAAGGGGAAGUGCCUCUCCCCAGAGUAAGGUGGUGACCAUGCUGGGAAAUGACAUCUCACACCUCGCUCAGCUGCACUGGACUCCCAGGAGGUAACAGCCCCCAGGCGGCUCAGAAAACCCGAUGCACCCGGAGUCCACCCACUGACGUUGGUCUCGGGGACCGCGAGGUGACUUUCCUUCGGGGCCUGGGCUCCAUCGGCAACUGCCCCGACUCGCCUGGCCGUCUUAGACGUCAGGGACAGCAGCAGCCCCCCCGGGCAGCCUUCGUGACAGCAGCAGCAGCAGGGGAGGACUGGUCUGUCCCUGAUUGCAGGGCUCACCACUGCCUCCCCAGAGAAAACUGGAAUUUCAGGCGAGGAUGCUCCUCCUGCCAUGACACCCCUUCAGCUGUCCUGAUGCCGCUCUGCCACCAGCUGGCCCUCCCACCUCUGAGUUGGCUCACACCUCUGCUCUCUGUGUGGAUGAAGGAUCACGGCAGCACAAGAGAAGCUUCUUAGCCUGCAAACCACCUAAGGUUGCAUUUUUCCCAUUGCUGGUGUUUUCUGGAAAAGCCAGGACUUUCCAGAAGUGUGUGGCUUGGUCUGAGCCACACAGCUGGGUUUAGAUGCUCUUGCUGUGGAGACAUGGGAUCAGGGCUGCCCCAAGAGGGGUGCUGGGUCCUUGAAGGUGUGGGUAGCUCUGGGUCCUGACAGCUGCAAGAAUCACAGCCCAGCGUGGGGUCGAGUUGGCAGUCAGAGAGCCACCAUGGGCCCCUGUCCCCAGAGCUGGGCGGUGCUGUGUGGAUGAGAGAAGCCAGACAGACCAGAAAGAGGCCCCACAGCCAGAGAGAAGCAGAAGCAGAGCAGGGGCCUCAGGGCUCCCAGGCCCAUCCUCUUUCAUGUACAAGAUGUUUCCUCUCUUCACCAAACAUUAGAAAAACACAUAUUGCCAGAAUAUUCUAUCUCAGCCUUUUUUUUUUUUAAGCCUUUCACAUAUGUGGAUUUUUUUUUUUAUAUAACAUUCCAAAUAAACAGAUAUUCUGCCUCUGCCUGCA